Molecule: unclassified non-coding RNA, 352 nt
Filed under: soil metagenome
Description: partial contains 5.8S ribosomal RNA, internal transcribed spacer 2, and large subunit ribosomal RNA
Rfam family: 5.8S ribosomal RNA (bases 1-120)
Source: RNAcentral
GAUGAAGAACGCAGCGAAAUGCGAUAAGUAAUGUGAAUUGCAGAAUUCAGUGAAUCAUCGAAUCUUUGAACGCACAUUGCGCCCGCCAGUAUUCUGGCGGGCAUGCCUGUUCGAGCGUCAUUACACCCCUCAGGCCCCCGGGCCUGGCGUUGGGGAUCGGCGGAAGCCCCCUGUGGGCACACGCCGUCCCUCAAAUACAGUGGCGGUCCCGCCGCAGCUUCCAUUGCGUAGUAGCUAACACCUCGCAACUGGAGAGCGGCGCGGCCAUGCCGUAAAACACCCAACUUCUGAAUGUUGACCUCGAAUCAGGUAGGAAUACCCGCUGAACUUAAGCAUAUCAAUAAGCGGAGGA